GUAGGUGGCAAGCGUUGUCCGGAAUUAUUGGGCGUAAAGCGCGCGCAGGCGGGUCCUUUAAGUCUGAUGUGAAAGCCCACGGGCUCAACCGUGGAGGGUCAUUGGAAACUGGGGGACUUGAGUACAGAAGAGGAAAGCGGAAUUCCAAGUGUAGCGGUGAAAUGCGUAGAGAUUUGGAGGAACACCAGUGGCGAAGGCGGCUUUCUGGUCUGUAACUGACGCUGAGGCGCGAAAGCGUGGGGAGCAAACAGGAUUAGAUACCCUGGUAGUCCACGCCGUAAACGAUGAGUGCUAAGUGUCAGGGGGUUUCCGCCCCUUAGUGCUGCAGCUAACGCAUUAAGCACUCCGCCUGGGGAGUACGGCCGCAAGGCUG
This 373-nucleotide ribosomal RNA is filed under the name uncultured organism. RNAcentral's name for it is "partial 16S ribosomal RNA". It matches the Rfam family "Bacterial small subunit ribosomal RNA", at positions 527 to 896 of the family's 1533-position model. The record is from RNAcentral.